This 253-nucleotide ribosomal RNA is filed under the name uncultured bacterium. Its description in RNAcentral is "partial 16S ribosomal RNA". It matches the Rfam family "Bacterial small subunit ribosomal RNA", at positions 524 to 776 of the family's 1533-position model. The record is from RNAcentral.
UACGUAGGGUGCGAGCGUUAAUCGGAAUUACUGGGCGUAAAGCGUGCGCAGGCGGUGAUGUAAGACAGGUGUGAAAUCCCCGGGCUUAACCUGGGAACUGCAUUUGUGACUGCAUCGCUGGAGUGCGGCAGAGGGGGAUGGAAUUCCGCGUGUAGCAGUGAAAUGCGUAGAUAUGCGGAGGAACACCGAUGGCGAAGGCAGCCCCCUGGGCCGACACUGACGCUCAUGCACGAAAGCGUGGGGAGCAAACGGG